Molecule: long non-coding RNA, 238 nt
Filed under: Cicer arietinum (chickpea)
Lineage: Eukaryota; Viridiplantae; Streptophyta; Magnoliopsida; Fabales; Fabaceae
Description: long non-coding RNA (CARI_LNC001191)
Source: RNAcentral
CAAUGAACAAUGUUUCUCUUAUAAUCGUUGUUUUUUUGCAGUAAUUAAUCAUAUUUUGAAUGAUGAGAUUAGGGAGAUUUAGUUUCUUGCACUAGAGAAGAUGGUAAAUGACCAUAGCAUCAUUGUUUGAGAUAUAUUCAUGGCUACCAUAGUGAGGUAGAAUUGAAUGUUGACUUAUGUUGUUGAAUGUUUUGGGGAGAGGUUUGAGAUCAGUAGAAACAAAAUUGGUGGAGCUAGG